This 1530-nucleotide ribosomal RNA is filed under the name Salmonella enterica subsp. enterica serovar Goldcoast. RNAcentral's name for it is "bacterial SSU rRNA". It matches the Rfam family "Bacterial small subunit ribosomal RNA". Lineage: Bacteria; Pseudomonadati; Pseudomonadota; Gammaproteobacteria; Enterobacterales; Enterobacteriaceae. The record is from RNAcentral.
AGAGUUUGAUCAUGGCUCAGAUUGAACGCUGGCGGCAGGCCUAACACAUGCAAGUCGAACGGUAACAGGAAGCAGCUUGCUGCUUUGCUGACGAGUGGCGGACGGGUGAGUAAUGUCUGGGAAACUGCCUGAUGGAGGGGGAUAACUACUGGAAACGGUGGCUAAUACCGCAUAACGUCGCAAGACCAAAGAGGGGGACCUUCGGGCCUCUUGCCAUCAGAUGUGCCCAGAUGGGAUUAGCUAGUUGGUGAGGUAACGGCUCACCAAGGCGACGAUCCCUAGCUGGUCUGAGAGGAUGACCAGCCACACUGGAACUGAGACACGGUCCAGACUCCUACGGGAGGCAGCAGUGGGGAAUAUUGCACAAUGGGCGCAAGCCUGAUGCAGCCAUGCCGCGUGUAUGAAGAAGGCCUUCGGGUUGUAAAGUACUUUCAGCGGGGAGGAAGGUGUUGCGGUUAAUAACCGCAGCAAUUGACGUUACCCGCAGAAGAAGCACCGGCUAACUCCGUGCCAGCAGCCGCGGUAAUACGGAGGGUGCAAGCGUUAAUCGGAAUUACUGGGCGUAAAGCGCACGCAGGCGGUCUGUCAAGUCGGAUGUGAAAUCCCCGGGCUCAACCUGGGAACUGCAUUCGAAACUGGCAGGCUUGAGUCUUGUAGAGGGGGGUAGAAUUCCAGGUGUAGCGGUGAAAUGCGUAGAGAUCUGGAGGAAUACCGGUGGCGAAGGCGGCCCCCUGGACAAAGACUGACGCUCAGGUGCGAAAGCGUGGGGAGCAAACAGGAUUAGAUACCCUGGUAGUCCACGCCGUAAACGAUGUCUACUUGGAGGUUGUGCCCUUGAGGCGUGGCUUCCGGAGCUAACGCGUUAAGUAGACCGCCUGGGGAGUACGGCCGCAAGGUUAAAACUCAAAUGAAUUGACGGGGGCCCGCACAAGCGGUGGAGCAUGUGGUUUAAUUCGAUGCAACGCGAAGAACCUUACCUGGUCUUGACAUCCACGGAAGUUUUCAGAGAUGAGAAUGUGCCUUCGGGAACCGUGAGACAGGUGCUGCAUGGCUGUCGUCAGCUCGUGUUGUGAAAUGUUGGGUUAAGUCCCGCAACGAGCGCAACCCUUAUCCUUUGUUGCCAGCGGUUAGGCCGGGAACUCAAAGGAGACUGCCAGUGAUAAACUGGAGGAAGGUGGGGAUGACGUCAAGUCAUCAUGGCCCUUACGACCAGGGCUACACACGUGCUACAAUGGCGCAUACAAAGAGAAGCGACCUCGCGAGAGCAAGCGGACCUCAUAAAGUGCGUCGUAGUCCGGAUUGGAGUCUGCAACUCGACUCCAUGAAGUCGGAAUCGCUAGUAAUCGUGGAUCAGAAUGCCACGGUGAAUACGUUCCCGGGCCUUGUACACACCGCCCGUCACACCAUGGGAGUGGGUUGCAAAAGAAGUAGGUAGCUUAACCUUCGGGAGGGCGCUUACCACUUUGUGAUUCAUGACUGGGGUGAAGUCGUAACAAGGUAACCGUAGGGGAACCUGCGGUUGGAUCACCU